Long non-coding RNA from Rattus norvegicus (Norway rat), 1957 nucleotides. RefSeq lists it as uncharacterized. NCBI's taxonomy places the organism in Eukaryota, Metazoa, Chordata, Mammalia, Rodentia, Muridae. The record is from RefSeq and is a predicted model, not a curated record.
AAAACGGCCCCGCGCGAGAUUCCGGCGGCCGUACCGGCUUGCCCAGGCCGCCGCCUCAGCUGACCGGGUCGCUACGAGGCCGCCGCGGGCUCCGCAGUGUCGCAGGGAGGCUACCGACACCGUCCACCCGGCCGCCCUCCGCCGAUCGUCGCCGAGCUGCAGGCUGCGCGGACCUGGCCAAUCGCACACACCCAACGAGCCUAGCAAGAGCCGCGGUCCCGUACGUGGCAGGUGGGAAGCGCAGGGGCGGGAGCAAAGAAAAAAAAACUGCCCUGGCGCCCCGCCUCAAGACGGACAGGCCAACCAGAGCGCAUGCGCAGUGGAGUGAGGGGCGGGACGGGCGAAGACCCCGCUGCGUCGGGUGAGCGGCCCAGCUUCCUCACUGGAUGACCAAGUGUAGGAAGUGUGAGCCGAGGCGGACACGCAUGCGCGAGGAAUUACCAGCACUUCCGGUUUUCCCGACAGCUAGUAAUUGCUAACUCUCUCCGGUGGGCGGGGCGUAGUCUGCAGGGCUGGGCUUGCUCUGAGAGCCUUGGUGGAGAGUUGAUUAUUCUGGUCACAAAACACUUUUUUAAACAAAACACCUUUUCCUAAAGAGGACACUGGUUGCCAAACUCCAUUGGCAAAAGUUUAAUGCAUGCAAGCAACUGGAGCCACUUUGUUCUAGAAGAUCCACUUGUGGACUGAGUGCAGUGUACAGAUGUCCGUAUGGAAAGGAUACUUGGAAUGGACAGGCUUGCAGAAUUCAGUCCGAGCGUAUGGCUUCAUCUGUGCAAUGUUCUGCCCCAUCCACGCUGUAAACUAUGGGCAGGAGGUUGCAGCAUGUGUGUGCUCAGGGCCUCCUGAUCUUUAUCAACCAAGCCUGCUAAAUAGUAGCGAUAGCAAGAAGACCACCUACUGAGGUCAGAAAAUCACACUGAGAAGACUGCAGUUGUUUGAGACCUGGUAAGCCAGGGAAUGUGGUCUCAGUGUCACUAAAGGUGGAUACCAGCACCUCCUUCCUUACAGCUCUCUUAUUUCAAGUAUUCAAAUUUCGUUUCCUGAAUUUGGGAGACUUUUGAAGAGAAGAUAUUUUUUUCAUAAAACUGUGUGGUUUAAUUUUUGCUUGAGCCAAUGUGUCACAACACUAGACUACUGAGUUAGACGAGACGGGGAGACUAUCCAGCUUCUCAGUCAAAGUCCAUUGGGAAAUCUCUCCUGAAUACUACACUCCCAGGCCUUGUGCAGACGUUGGAAACGUUUGCAGGGGUCUGAGGUGUGCUGAGGUGCUGUGUUAGCAUAUACAUUAGUCCUUGCUGACAGCUUCCACUCUCGGAGAGUCUCACCUUGUCAGAUUCUGGUUGUUCUUCCACAACACUUUGACUGUGAUUAUGACAAAUAUAGCAAUGUUGGUGAUGAGGAUAAUGGUCACCGGCAUGAUGAACGACCACAAAAGUGGACUUCUGGCAAAAUCAUUGUUCUUGGGAACGGCCAGCCAGCAGCUGUGGGGAAAAAAAUAUCUCAGCAAACUAAAGAAAGGACAAAUACCAACCCCUUUUGCUCUUACCACUAUUGACUUUCAUGGAACUGAAGUCCUUGCUAAGAAUAUCCCUUGGCAUCUGAUACAUCUGAGGUUACUCUCCGGAAUCCAGCCCAUUAGAAAAGUUGGAUCUGCCAAAUUUUCCUCGAGUCAUUGUGGGCCAGCAGAAGGUAAACUGAGUCAGAUAGACCCAAACUACUUACUAGUAUUGUUGUUGUUUUCAUUGUGGGAAGAAGAAACCCAGAACUAAUUUUUUUUAAUAAAACCUCAAUUGUUUGAUUUUACCAAUGAAGACUCAGGAGUCAGAUAGAUGCUGGGGUGAAAGCCUGCCAGCUCAGAGAGGCAGAGAAAGCACCCAGCUGACCUUCCUCCUCAGCUGAUGUCCCAGAAGCAAUGACCCUCUUUCAAGCUACCCCAAUAAACUCCCUUCAAACCAAA